This 496-nucleotide ribosomal RNA is filed under the name uncultured bacterium. RNAcentral's name for it is "partial 16S ribosomal RNA". It matches the Rfam family "Bacterial small subunit ribosomal RNA", at positions 28 to 506 of the family's 1533-position model. The record is from RNAcentral.
GAUGAACGCUGGCGGCGUGCCUAAUACAUGCAAGUCGAGCGAACAGACGAGGAGCUUGCUCCUCUGACGUUAGCGGCGGACGGGUGAGUAACACGUGGAUAACCUACCUAUAAGACUGGGAUAACUUCGGGAAACCGGAGCUAAUACCGGAUAAUAUAUUGAACCGCAUGGUUCAAUAGUGAAAGACGGUUUUGCUGUCACUUAUAGAUGGAUCCGCGCCGCAUUAGCUAGUUGGUAAGGUAACGGCUUACCAAGGCGACGAAGCGUAGCCGACCUGAGAGGGGGAUCGGCCACACGGGAACUGAAACACGGUCCAGACUCCUACGGGAGGCAGCAGUAGGGAAUCUUCCGCAAUGGGCGAAAGCCUGACGGAGCAACGCCGCGUGAGUGAUGAAGGUCUUCGGAUCGUAAAACUCUGUUAUUAGGGAAGAACAAAUGUGUAAGUAACUAUGCACGUCUGGACGGUACCUAAUCAGAAAGCCACGGCUAACUACGU